AGAGUUUGAUCCUGGCUCAGAACGAACGCUGGCAGCGCGCUUAAUACAUGCAAGUCGAGCGAGAAAGUGCCCGCAAGGGUGCGAGUAAAGCGGCGAACGGGUGAGUAACACGUGGGCAAUCUGCCCUCAAGCCUGGAAUAAGCCUUCGAAAGGGGGUCUAAUACCGGAUAACAUCUUCUGACGGCCUCGUUGGGAGAUCAAAGGCGGGGAAACCUGUCACUUGGGGAUGAGCCCGCGCUCCAUUAGCCUGUUGGCAGGGUAACGGCCUACCAAAGCUAUGAUGGAUAGCCGGCCUGAGAGGGUGAUCGGCCACACUGGGACUGAGAUACGGCCCAGACUCCUACGGGAGGCAGCAGUAGGGAAUAUUGCGCAAUGGACGAAAGUCUGACGCAGCAACGCCGCGUGGGUGACGAAGCUCCUUGGAGUGUAAAACCCUGUCAGCGGGGACGAACCGAUCGGAGAGUAACUGCUCCGGUCCUGACGGUACCCGCGGAGGAAGUUCCGGCCAACUCCGUGCCAGCAGCCGCGGUAAUACGGGGGGAACGAGCGUUGUUCGGAUUUACUGGGCGUAAAGGGCGUGCAGGCGGAUUCUCAAGUCGGAUGUGAAAACCGUAGGCUUAACCUACGGCCUGCAUCUGAUACUGUUAAUCUUGAGUACGGGAGAGGAAAGUGGAAUUCCAGGUGUAGCGGUGACAUGCGUAGAUAUCUGGAAGAACACCGGUGGCGAAGGCGGCUUUCUGGACCGAUACUGACGCUGAGGCGCGAAAGCCAGGGGAGCAAACAGGAUUAGAUACCCUGGUAGUCCUGGCCGUAAACGAUGGGCACUAGGUGUUGAGGGUAUCGACCCCCUCAGUGCCGCAGCUAACGCAUUAAGUGCCCCGCCUGGGGAGUACGAUCGCAAGGUUGAAACUCAAAAGAAUUGACGGGGGCCCGCACAAGCGGUGGAGUAUGUGGUUCAAUUCGAGGCAACGCGAAGAACCUUACCUGGGUUUGACAUGUACCGGACCGCGACUGAAAGGUCGCUUUCCCUUCGGGGACCGGUGCACAGGUGCUGCAUGGCUGUCGUCAGCUCGUGCCGUGAGGUGUUGGGUUAAGUCCCGCAACGAGCGCAACCUUUGUCCUUAGUUGCCAUCAGGUAAUGCUGGGAACUCUAAGGAGACCGCCGGUGAUAAGCUGGAGGAAGAUGGAGAUGACGUCAAGUCCUCAUGGCCC
This 1212-nucleotide ribosomal RNA is filed under the name metagenome. Its description in RNAcentral is "bacterial SSU rRNA". It matches the Rfam family "Bacterial small subunit ribosomal RNA", at positions 8 to 1201 of the family's 1533-position model. The record is from RNAcentral.